Molecule: non-coding RNA, 256 nt
Organism: Cyanistes caeruleus (blue tit)
Lineage: Eukaryota; Metazoa; Chordata; Aves; Passeriformes; Paridae
Source: RefSeq, a predicted model, not a curated record
CUUUUUUUUCCAGUGACUUAGAACAGAUGGCCAGCCCCACACAAAACUUUUCUGAGUUUGAUUCAGCCCUACAGUACAAAUUAGAGAGUUUUCCAUGCAAGUUUUCAUCUGUCCCAGGCCAUCAACUGAUACAGAAGUCUCUAAUAAAGUUGAGUCCUAAGUCACUACUUGGAAGGUGGUGACAUUUUGUCAUCCCCAGCUCCACCAUAGGAGGAUACAAGCCACCUCCAUUCAAGAGGAUACAAGCAUGAAUUUA